RNAcentral lists this ribosomal RNA (250 nucleotides) under uncultured prokaryote. RNAcentral describes it as "partial 16S ribosomal RNA". It matches the Rfam family "Bacterial small subunit ribosomal RNA", at positions 524 to 773 of the family's 1533-position model. The record is from RNAcentral.
UACGAAGGGUGCGAGCGUUGUUCGGAAUUACUGGGCGUAAAGGGUGUGUAGGCGGGUUUAUAAGAUAGCGGUGAAAUGCCUGGGCUUAACCGAGGAAUUGCCGUUAUAACUAUAGGCCUAGAGUGACAGAGAGGAUAUUGGAAUACCCAGUGUAGAGGUGAAAUUCGUAGAUAUUGGGUAGAACACCGGUGGCGAAGGCGAGUAUCUGGCUGUUAACUGACGCUGAGGCACGAAAGCAUGGGGAUCAAAC